GAUGAAGAACGUAGCGAAAUGCGAUAAGUAAUGUGAAUUGCAGAAUUCAGUGAAUCAUCGAAUCUUUGAACGCACCUUGCGCCCUUUGGCCAUUCCGAAGGGCAUGCCUGUUUGAGUAUCAUGAACACCUCAACUCUUUAUGGUUUUCCAUGAUGAGCUUGGACUCUGGGGGUUUUGCUGGCUCACAGUCGGCUCCUCUAAAAUGAAUCAGCUUACCAGUGUUUGGUGGGUAUCAUGGGUGUGAUAACUAUCUACGCUUGUGGUUUUUCCACCAGGUAACCUUCAGCAGUGGAGGUUCGCUGGAGCUCAUAGAUGUCUCUCCUCAGUGAGGACAGCCCUUUGAAUGUUUGAUCUCAAAUCAGGUAGGACUACCCGCUGAACUUAAGCAUAUCAAUAAGCGGAGG
This 404-nucleotide unclassified non-coding RNA is filed under the name soil metagenome. Its description in RNAcentral is "partial contains 5.8S ribosomal RNA, internal transcribed spacer 2, and large subunit ribosomal RNA". The stretch from base 1 to 121 matches the Rfam family "5.8S ribosomal RNA", at positions 35 to 154 of the family's 154-position model. The record is from RNAcentral.